CCUACGGGUGGCAGCAGUCGAGAAUCAUUCACAAUGGGGGAAACCCUGAUGGUGCGACGCCGCGUGGGGGAAUGAAGGUCUUCGGAUUGUAAACCCCUGUCAUGUGGGAGCAAAUUAAAAAGAUAGUACCACAAGAGGAAGAGACGGCUAACUCUGUGCCAGCAGCCGCGGUAAUACAGAGGUCUC
RNAcentral lists this ribosomal RNA (186 nucleotides) under uncultured bacterium. Its description in RNAcentral is "partial 16S ribosomal RNA". It matches the Rfam family "Bacterial small subunit ribosomal RNA", at positions 338 to 535 of the family's 1533-position model. The record is from RNAcentral.